UGGAGGUCGCUGCAGAUGCAGGGUCUAAAAAGUCACGGAUACUCCUGCAGACAACUGGGACAAUCUCCAUGCUCACUUAACUUUCCUGUGGCUGAACCGAUUUUACCUUUAUUCAUGUGCAGCUUUUGGAAUCAGCCUUUGGUUUUGCUUCCAGUUCCUCAACAAAGCCAAAGAGCAGCUGCUGAAAAAGAACAGCAAGAUCCAAGCCUCGACAAAGUCCAUGUAGCCGGAGUGAAGGUAUUCUAUGGUUCCCAGACUGGAACAGCAAAGCGGUUUGCACUGGUACUUACUGAAGCUGUUGCCUCCAUUAAUUUGCCAGCAGAAAUUAUUGACAUGCAAGAUUAUGAUCCAGAUGACUCUCUCAUAGAUGAGAUAAGCAGCCAGAAUAUCUGCGUGUUCUUAGUUGCCACUUACACUGACGGCAAACCAACAGAGAACGCUGCAUGGUUCUGCAAAUGGCUGGAAGAAGCAGCCAAUGACUUCAGAGUUGGCAAGGCAUAUCUGAAGGGUUUGCGAUAUGCUGUCUUUGGUUUGGGAAAUUCAGUGUAUGCUGACCACUUCAACACUGUGAGCAGGAAUGUUGAUAAGUGGCUGUGGAUGCUGGGUGCUCGACGCAUUUUGUCAUGUGCUCGAGGGGACAGCAAUGUGGUGAAGAGCCAGCAUGGAAGCAUUGAGGCUGAUUUUGAGGUUUGGAAGGCCAAGUUACUCACGAGGCUUCAAGCUCUUGCCAAAGGGGAACAGAAGGCCUGUAGUGGGAGAUGCAAAAAAGGGCCCUGUAGAUCCAAAUCAAAAGUGAGCCAAGAAGCAAAAGAACAAGAGACCUCAAAGCAGGUGGAGAAAGAAGAGGAGGAUUUCUUUGAAACCACAAGUGAGGAGGAAUCUGAUACAGAGAAUGGUAGAGGUGCAGAGCAGGUUGUGGAUGUUGAAGAUUUGGGCAAAGUGAUGGGCCAAAUGAAGAAAUCUCAGAAAGAGCAUCAGAUCGACGGAGAGGUUCCCAUUGGAGUUGGAACUCAACAUGGCAGAGGGGAGGAUGAGAGAAGGGAGAUGAUCACUCCUGCUCUUCGAGAUGCACUCACAAAGCAAGGUUAUAGAUUAAUUGGGAGCCAUUCUGGAGUGAAGCUUUGCCGUUGGACAAAGUCGAUGCUUCGUGGGAGAGGAGGCUGUUACAAGCACACCUUUUACGGCAUUGAAAGCCACCGCUGUAUGGAGACCACACCGAGCUUGGCUUGUGCUAAUAAAUGUGUCUUCUGUUGGAGACACCACACAAAUCCUGUUGGCACUGAGUGGCGAUGGAAGAUGGACCAGCCAGAGAUGAUCUUGAAGGAGGCCAUUGAGAACCAUCAGAAUUUGAUCAAGCAGUUUAAAGGAGUCCCUGGCGUGAGAGAUGACCGCUUCAGAGAAGGGAUGGAGGCCAAGCAUUGUGCACUGUCUCUUGUUGGGGAGCCAAUCAUGUACCCCCAGAUCAAUCAGUUCCUGAAGCUGCUGCAUCAUCACAAUAUUUCAAGUUUUUUGGUUACAAAUGCGCAGUUUCCAGAGGAAAUUAGGAAUCUCCAGCCUGUCACGCAGCUGUAUGUCAGUGUGGAUGCCAGCACCAAAGAUAGUCUGAAGAAGAUUGAUCGACCUCUCUUUAAAGACUUUUGGCAGCGGUUUCUAGACAGCUUGCAAGCCUUAGCUGAAAAGCAUCAGCGCACCGUAUACAGAUUAACCCUGGUGAAGGCUUGGAAUGUGGAGGAGCUGAAAGCUUAUUCAGACUUGGUGUCUCUUGGCAAGCCAGAUUUCAUAGAGGUUAAGGGUGUGACUUACUGUGGGGAAAGUUCAGCCAGCAACCUCACCAUGGCCAACGUCCCUUGGCAUGAAGAAGUGAAGCGCUUUGUGCAAGAACUGGCUGACCUCCUCCCAGACUAUGAAAUUGCUAGCGAACACGAGCACUCCAACUGCCUCCUCAUUGCCCACAAGAAGUUCAAGAUCGAAGGAAAAUGGCACACCUGGAUUGACUAUGAUCGCUUUCAAGAAUUGGUUCAUGAAUAUGAACAAAGUGGAGGAAUUAAAACAUUCACAUCUGCUGACUAUGUAGCAUUGACUCCUUCUUGGGCAGUGUUUGGAGCUAAGGAAAGAGGCUUUGACCCAACGGACACAAGAUUUCAACGAAAAAAUAAAACAAAGGACAUCUCCGGAUGCUGACAACUUUCAAAUUGGACCAUUUUUAAGCCAGGGCUAAAGAUACAAUCAGAAUUUUUGGUUUGUAGACAUCAGAAAGUGUUGCAUAAAACUUGAGACUUCUGUUUCUCUUGGGGAUAUCCAAAGUGUUUUUUUCUUUUAUUCUACCCAGAGGAAAAUGAAUGGUAGCAGCACAUGCAAUAGUUUACAGAUUGACGGGUUCUGCCUGAGGGUACAUAAAGUCUGUCUUUUUACUGAUGGGAUAAGACAUCCUUCUCCUGGUGGUGUCCACCAAGUUUAUUGAAACUACAACUCCCAGAAUUCCUCGGCAGUCAUUGGGGAACACAUUUGGAGGGUACUAGAUUCGAAAGGUUGAUAUAAGAUGUGACAAUUCCAUUUCUACAAAUACCUUAAGACAGAGGUUGGCCAUUUAGCAUCUGCAGGUAUCUUUUUCACCUCCCCUGUUUAGUCCAAAAAGGAUUUUAUAACCUUGGGGGACCACAGCAAUUAUUCUGUUAAAAAAAAUAAACCAGGACUUUCAGCUACAAACAUCUCAAAUUUCCAAACCUGCUCAUUGUGCUUGAAAUCACAUGAUUAUUUUUGCAUGACAAAAGAAAAGAAACGUAUUUUAUAUUGAAAGCCAAAGUAAUUAUGUUAACUAUGAGGAAAAAGUAUCUUUACAGUAAGAGUUCAAGCUCUGGGUUUCCAAGAAAACUUCAUCAGUGACUUUUGAAAAGGAAAGGAAAGUUGCAAUUGAUUUUAAAUGACUAUUUAAUGGUAAAGGCAAUAGAAAAACUAAAAGGAAAAUGGUUGGACUGUGUAUGUGUUUUAGAUUUCAAGUUUAAGAUUUGUCAGUGCAGAGGGAGUGCACAUAACUUCUCUGUGAUCCCUUAAACCCGGGGUGUCAAACUCAAUUUCAUGGAGGGCUGCAUCAGGGUUGUGUUUGACCUCGGAGGGUUGGUGUGUGUGGUCAGGGUGGGCGUGGCCAGCUCAAUGUCACUCAUGUCGGCACCUGUGGUAGCUCCAGCGCUUUGCCAGUGAAAACGGAGUUUGGGAGGGCCACGCACAGCCUGUUCUGACCUGUGCUUCCCCAAAACACGAAGCCGAGUCCUCGUCCCGACGAAAAACCCUUUUAUUUAAUUUACAGUGAAUUUCUCUACAGCAAAGUCUUUCUUCUCCCACAGUCUUUCAAGAUAGUUCACAAUUACCGACCUUUAUCAGGCUUGGAGAGUGGCCAGGCCGAUACCUUUCAGACGCUGCAAUAUUUGGCAAGAAUGUAGUAAUGAACCAAUUGUUUCCUGCAAAUUCCACUCCCCUUUCGCUCCACUUUUAUUUCCUCUGGGAGGAGCCAUUCAUUGUUCACCUGUGGCCUUACUCCCAAGUCAACCCUUGUUCUUUAGCUGUUCCCUUCAUCUGGCAACUCUGCACAUGCACACACUGGGAACAGGCUCUAGCUGUUCAUCUGCCUCACUGAUGUCUGACUCCAAAGGCAGCUGAUAACUGGCAUACAGCCCUGGCCCCCACUCUGCCUCCAACGCAGAGCCCUCAUCAGAGCCUUUCCCCAGACUCCAGGACUGGCCCAUGUUCCCCCCCAACCUCCUCACUGUCCAAAUCUGCUGCCAGAUCCACUGGCGGGCCAAAACACAGCCUUCCCGAGCUCUGUUUUUGCUGGCAGAGGCACCAUGGGCCGGUCCUUCACUGUUUCUAGGGCAGCCCCGCAGGCCAGAUCUAAGCACCCUGCAGGCUGGAUCUGGCCUGCAGGCCUUGAGUUUGACAUCCCUGGCUUAAACCAAAAAUACCUUUUCCUGAGAUUGCAGUGUGCAGGGCAUCCAUUCAAUCCAUAGGACCAGACUGGUCUAGUAGUUAAGACUAGAAACUAGGAGACUUGGACUAAGCUCUAGUACUGCCUUAGGCCUGAAAAUCGGCUGUGUGACUUUGGGCCAGUCCCUCUCUCUCAGCCUAAGCCAUCUCACAUUAAAUGUCAUAUAUACUGAACAGUUAUUUUCUACAAUAAGGUUUAAUGUUUUGAUAGUUAAUUUUGGAAUCAACACAGUUCAGAUUUCUUUUGGCACAAUGGAAGAGGAGUUACGUUUUUGGCAAUGAUACCUAAUGAUUAUGGGUGUUAUAAACAAAUACUUGGGAAGGUCACCAGAUGAGGUACCUGCACUAAAUGCUCACAGAUAAGCCUUUGACUCUUUUGAUUAACUUUGAUGCUCCUAAUGUCAUCUAGUUAUAUGGAAGAAUACAAGCCCAAUCCAGUAUAAUUCAUCCCUUAUAAUUGCCUCCCUUAUGGCCAAAGAAGGAAAUAGAAGGAAAUUUUAGCAGCUCUUUUACUUUACGCUUUUUCCCCAUUUGGUUUUUGUGAUUAUACUAUUCAGCCCAGUUUGAACAUGUCAUUUUAAAGAAUUCUCUGGAAAUAUUUUAUUUGGUAGUUAUCUUAACAUAGUUUAAGAUAAGAUGAUAAGCUUUUUUGUCAACUUUUUUCUGUAAACACACUGACAUAUUAAAAAUGAAAUUCUGA
Molecule: RNA transcript, 4678 nt
Organism: Ahaetulla prasina
Lineage: Eukaryota; Metazoa; Chordata; Lepidosauria; Squamata; Colubridae
Gene name: S-adenosyl-L-methionine-dependent tRNA 4-demethylwyosine synthase TYW1-like
Exons: 17
Source: RefSeq, a predicted model, not a curated record